RNAcentral lists this ribosomal RNA (676 nucleotides) under uncultured bacterium. RNAcentral's name for it is "bacterial SSU rRNA". It matches the Rfam family "Bacterial small subunit ribosomal RNA", at positions 827 to 1502 of the family's 1533-position model. The record is from RNAcentral.
GGGGUUCCGCCCCUUAGUGCUGCAGCUAACGCAUUAAGCACUCCGCCUGGGGAGUACGACCGCAAGGUUGAAACUCAAAGGAAUUGACGGGGACCCGCGCAAGCGGUGGAGCAUGUGGUUUAAUUCGAAGCAACGCGAAGAACCUUACCAAAUCUUGACAUCCUCUGACCCCUCUAGAGAUAGAGUUUUCCCCUUCGGGGGACAGAGUGACAGGUGGUGCAUGGUUGUCGUCAGCUCGUGUCGUGAGAUGUUGGGUUAAGUCCCGCAACGAGCGCAACCCUUAAGCUUAGUUGCCAUCAUUAAGUUGGGCACUCUAAGUUGACUGCCGGUGACAAACCGGAGGAAGGUGGGGAUGACGUCAAAUCAUCAUGCCCCUUAUGAUUUGGGCUACACACGUGCUACAAUGGACAAUACAAAGGGCAGCGAAACCGCGAGGUCAAGCAAAUCCCAUAAAGUUGUUCUCAGUUCGGAUUGUAGUCUGCAACUCGACUAUAUGAAGCUGGAAUCGCUAGUAAUCGUAGAUCAGCAUGCUACGGUGAAUACGUUCCCGGGUCUUGUACACACCGCCCGUCACACCACGAGAGUUUGUAACACCCGAAGCCGGUGGAGUAACCAUUUGGAGCUAGCCGUCGAAGGUGGGACAAAUGAUUGGGGUGAAGUCGUAACAAGGUAGCCG